Molecule: ribosomal RNA, 252 nt
Filed under: uncultured bacterium
Lineage: Bacteria
Description: partial 16S ribosomal RNA
Rfam family: Bacterial small subunit ribosomal RNA
Source: RNAcentral
ACAGAGGUCCCAAGCGUUGUUCGGAUUCACUGGGCGUAAAGGGUGCGUAGGCGGCAUGGAAAGUUUGGUGUGAAAGCUCCGGGCUCAACCCGGAAAUUGCACUGAAUACUACCAAGCUAGAGGAUUGGAAGGGAGACUGGAAUUCUUGGUGUAGCAGUGAAAUGCGUAGAUAUCAAGAGGAACAUCAGUGGCGAAGGCGAGUCUCUGGACAAUUCCUGACGCUGAGGCACGAAGGCUAGGGGAGCAAACAGG